Molecule: non-coding RNA, 83 nt
Filed under: Musa acuminata subsp. malaccensis (wild Malaysian banana)
Lineage: Eukaryota; Viridiplantae; Streptophyta; Magnoliopsida; Zingiberales; Musaceae
Description: tRNA
Rfam family: tRNA
About the family: Transfer RNA (tRNA) molecules are approximately 80 nucleotides in length.
Source: Rfam by way of RNAcentral
GGGAGAGUAGCUGAGUGGUCAAAAGCAACAGCCUGUAAAUCUGUUGAAGGUUUUCUACGUAGGUUCAAAUCUUGCCUCUCCCA